AACGAACGCUGGCGGCAUGCCUAACACAUGCAAGUCGAACGAGACCUUCGGGUCUAGUGGCGGACGGGUGAGUAACGCGUGGGAACCUGCCCAUCAGUACGGAAUAACCUCGGGAAACUG
This 120-nucleotide ribosomal RNA is filed under the name uncultured bacterium. RNAcentral describes it as "partial 16S ribosomal RNA". It matches the Rfam family "Bacterial small subunit ribosomal RNA", at positions 29 to 159 of the family's 1533-position model. The record is from RNAcentral.